Callithrix jacchus (white-tufted-ear marmoset) is the source of this 281-nucleotide unclassified non-coding RNA. It matches the Rfam family "Metazoan signal recognition particle RNA". Rfam says of the family: The signal recognition particle (SRP) is a universally conserved ribonucleoprotein. It is involved in the co-translational targeting of proteins to membranes. The record is from Ensembl. NCBI's taxonomy places the organism in Eukaryota, Metazoa, Chordata, Mammalia, Primates, Cebidae.
GCCAGGCAUGGUGGCUCACACCUACUGUCCCAGCUACUCAGGGGGCUGAGGAUCGCUUGAGCCCAAGAGUUCUGGGUUGCAGUGUACUAUGCAGAUAGAUGAAGUGUCUGCAUUAAGUUUGGCAUCAAUAUGUUGAUCUUCUGGGAGUGGGGGACCACCAGGUUGCCUAAGGAGGGGCAAACUGACUUAGGUUGGAAAUGGAGCAGGACGAAACUCCUAUGCUGAGGAGUUUUGUCCUGCCCAUUGCAAUCCUUAUCUUCCUGGACUUCGCUGAACCAUUU